Molecule: transfer RNA, 91 nt
Filed under: Gemmatimonadota bacterium
Lineage: Bacteria; Pseudomonadati; Gemmatimonadota
Description: Gemmatimonadetes bacterium tRNA-Ser
Rfam family: tRNA
About the family: Transfer RNA (tRNA) molecules are approximately 80 nucleotides in length. Their secondary structure includes four short double-helical elements and three loops (D, anti-codon, and T loops).
Source: RNAcentral
GGAGAGAUGACCGAGUGGUCGAAGGUGCACGACUGGAAAUCGUGUGUAGGGCAACCCCCUACCGAGGGUUCGAAUCCCUCUCUCUCCGCCA